UGGGGAAUCUUGGACAAUGGGGGCAACCCUGAUCCAGCCAUGCCGCGUGAGUGAUGAAGGCCUUAGGGUCGUAAAGCUCUUUCGCCUGUGAAGAUAAUGACGGUAGCAGGUAAAGAAACCCCGGCUAACUCCGUGCCAGCAGCCGCGGUAAUACGGAGGGGGCUAGCGUUGUUCGGAAUUACUGGGCGUAAAGCGCGCGUAGGCGGACUGAUCAGUCAGGGGUGAAAUCCCGGGGCUCAACCCCGGAACUGCCUUUGAUACUGUCAGUCUAGAGACCGGAAGAGGUUAGGGGAAUACCUAGUGUAGAGGUGAAAUUCGUAGAUAUUAGGUGGAACACCAGUGGCGAAGGCGCCUAACUGGUCCGGUACUGACGCUGAGGAACGAAAAGCGUGGGGAGCAAACAGGAUUAGAUACCCUGGUAGUCCACGCCGUAAAACGAUGAGUGCUAGAUGUUGGGAUUUUCGGAUUUCAGUGUCGCAGCUAACGCAUUAAGCACUCCGCCUGGGAGUACGGCCGCAAGGUUAAAACUCAAAGG
Molecule: ribosomal RNA, 535 nt
Filed under: uncultured bacterium
Lineage: Bacteria
Description: bacterial SSU rRNA
Rfam family: Bacterial small subunit ribosomal RNA
Source: RNAcentral